UUUUUAACACAUGCAAGUCGAGUGCGCGGUUGUAGCAAUACAACUGGCGCACGGCGCACGGGUGCGUAACACGUGGGCAAUCUGCCCUUCGAUGGGGAAUAACUCCGGGAAACCGAAGCUAAUUCCGCAUAACAUUCCUUGGACCUCGGUUCGAGGACUCAAAGCCGUAAGGCGUCGAAGGAGGAGCCCGCGCACGAUUAGCUAGUUGGUAGGGUAACGGCCUACCAAGGCUUUGAUCGUUAGCUGGUCUGAGAGGAUGG
This 260-nucleotide ribosomal RNA is filed under the name uncultured soil bacterium. RNAcentral's name for it is "partial 16S ribosomal RNA". It matches the Rfam family "Bacterial small subunit ribosomal RNA", at positions 47 to 303 of the family's 1533-position model. The record is from RNAcentral.